UCCCUAGUUCGGAUUGUAGGCUGAAACUCGCCUACAUGAAGCUGGAAUUGCUAGUAAUCACAGGUCAGCAUACUGUGGUGAAUACGUUCCCGGGCCUUGUACACACCGCCCGUCACACCAUGAGAGUUGAGAAUACCCGAAGCCCAUGUCAAAGUGGUCGAAGGUAGGCUUGAUGAUUGGGGUGAAGUCGUAACAAGGUAUC
This 202-nucleotide ribosomal RNA is filed under the name uncultured bacterium. Its description in RNAcentral is "partial 16S ribosomal RNA". It matches the Rfam family "Bacterial small subunit ribosomal RNA", at positions 1285 to 1500 of the family's 1533-position model. The record is from RNAcentral.